CCAGAUGAUGACUGUCUGCGUGAACAACAGCAUUACAGGUGCUGCCUUUCAGCUUUGCCCAACUUGUCCGUUGAGAAAAGUGGGUGAUUUGGCUGACCUGAGGCUCUUUCAGUCUGAAUUAAGGAAUGCCCACCUCCUAAAAGAUAAAAUGCCAGGUGUGUGGGGGGGUGGGCAAUAGAUUUUGGUUCAAAAUGGGACUUAGCUUUUUAUUUCCCAUUACAGGACGAUCCUGUAGCAUAUGGAGCGUGUGUCAGGUCUCUUCAUCUUCUGUGACCUCGUCUGAUCUGCUGUGCCUCACCCAUGGCCAGUCCCACCCCCAAGCUUCUGGAUGCCGUUCCACCUGAAUAUGGGUCAGACCAGGACCCGAGAAAGAUAGAAGAUGCUUCUCACCAACAAGAUUUCCCUAUGCAGUUCCCAUACCUAUUAAAUUAAGCACAAUACUGUAAUAGUGUAUUAUAAUGAUAUUAUUACCUCACGCUAUUAUUAUGGUGGAUUUAGAGAAUGAUUGUGUAUCCUUCUUGCUUAACCACAUUGCCACAUUGUAUAUUACAUUGCUGAAAUAAUUAGCAGAUGGUUUUCCUUAAUGAGCAGGGGCAAUUCUGUGUUUUUAUACACCUUAAUAUUUCACCAAAGCAGCGCAGAAACGAGAAACAGAUGAAGGCCUUUAGGAAACAAUAGUGUCCCCCCCUCCCCCAGUCAGGUGUGCACUGGGGUGCAGGCAGAUUUUUUUGUCCACUAUUUCUUUCGCUAUCCUGGGUACGCAGAGUUAGAGGCCUGUAGUUGGACUCCGUUAUGUCUGCCAUCAGUCUUCCUGAAAGACACAUUUGAAUUGGUGUUUAAGUGCCUGUGUAUUUGAUUGUGUGCACUGUCAUCCUGUCCAUCCUGUCCCCGUGACUUGUGCUUUGGACUAUUCCAGUCUGUGGUUAAUUUGGAGACACAAAUUGGACACCAACUGCACCUCUUCGGACUAUCGGAGGGAACCGGAGAACUUGGAGGGAUCCCACAUUUCUCCAAAAACCUCAACCCUACUGGUGCAAAGCAGCACACCCAGCAUGUCACCCAACAAACAUUGGUGGUUGCUAAUCACUGAAAGGACAAAACACUGUACAGACGCUCCUAAUGUUAGUAAUUACCUGUUAACUGACCUCCCGGACUUGCGACCAGCUCUCGGACCAGUCGGCAUUGUACACUCUACAGACGCUCCUCCUCCUUUAUUUGGUGAAGGAAGGUUGUAUAUUGUUGGCAGUAAUUGACCUUUAUUUUGGUAUGCCAUAUCAGUUUCACUUUAGUUUGAUGCAUAUGCUUUAUAUCGAGGGGUUAGGGAAUCUCCAGUAGUGCGUAAAGCACGGAUGUGUGCCAGGUUAAAGUUCUGCUGUGUCUUAUACAGUACUUUUCAAAAGCAAUGGCUUGUUGUAACUUUGCUAUGCUGGACAUGAGAUCUCCAAAGUCUUUUCUGUGUUUGGUUUAUUACAGUUUCAGUCACAGAUUUUCACCUGUCACAUGCGGAGAAAACAUGUACCAGGAACAGUACACUGUUUAUUACAAUAUACAGUACACUACUGUAUAAACAUCUUUAAAUAUACUAGAAAUGCUAUAAAUGGUGCAAAUGAGACAAUAAAGAUCUAAAGAUGGUUGACACAAA
Non-coding RNA from Paramormyrops kingsleyae, 1642 nucleotides. NCBI's taxonomy places the organism in Eukaryota, Metazoa, Chordata, Actinopteri, Osteoglossiformes, Mormyridae. The record is from RefSeq and is a predicted model, not a curated record.